UACGAAGGGGGCUAGCGUUGCUCGGAAUCACUGGGCGUAAAGCGCACGUAGGCGGACUCUUAAGUCGGUGGUGAAAUCCUGGAGCUCAACUCCAGAACUGCCUUCGAUACUGGGAGUCUCGAGUUCGGGAGAGGUGAGUGGAACUGCGAGUGUAGAGGUGAAAUUCGUAGAUAUUCGCAAGAACACCAGUGGCGAAGGCGGCUCACUGGCCCGAUACUGACGCUGAGGUGCGAAAGCGUGGGGAGCGAACAGG
This 253-nucleotide ribosomal RNA is filed under the name uncultured bacterium. RNAcentral's name for it is "partial 16S ribosomal RNA". It matches the Rfam family "Bacterial small subunit ribosomal RNA", at positions 524 to 776 of the family's 1533-position model. The record is from RNAcentral.